Molecule: ribosomal RNA, 254 nt
Filed under: uncultured bacterium
Lineage: Bacteria
Description: partial 16S ribosomal RNA
Rfam family: Bacterial small subunit ribosomal RNA
Source: RNAcentral
UACGGGGGGAGCAAGCGUUGUUCGGAUUUACUGGGCGUAAAGGGCGCGUAGGCGGCCUCUGCAAGUCGACUGUGAAAUCUCCGGGCUUAACCCGGAAAGGUCAGCCGAUACUGCAGGGCUAGAGUGCAGAAGGGGCAACUGGAAUUCUCGGUGUAGCGGUGAAAUGCGUAGAUAUCGAGAGGAACACCUGCGGCGAAGGCGGGUUGCUGGGCUGACACUGACGCUGAGGCGCGAAAGCGUGGGGAGCAAACAGG